Molecule: ribosomal RNA, 701 nt
Filed under: Natrinema sp.
Lineage: Archaea; Methanobacteriati; Methanobacteriota; Halobacteria; Halobacteriales; Natrialbaceae
Description: bacterial SSU rRNA
Rfam family: Archaeal small subunit ribosomal RNA
Source: RNAcentral
AAGUCUAUCGGGAAAUCCGCGCGCUUAACGCGCGGGCGUCCGGUGGAAACUGCGUGGCUUGGGACCGGAAGACCAGAGGGGUACGUCCGGGGUAGGAGUGAAAUCCCGUAAUCCUGGACGGACCACCGGUGGCGAAAGCGCCUCUGGAAGACGGAUCCGACGGUGAGGGACGAAAGCUCGGGUCACGAACCGGAUUAGAUACCCGGGUAGUCCGAGCUGUAAACGAUGUCUGCUAGGUGUGGCACAGGCUACGAGCCUGUGCUGUGCCGUAGGGAAGCCGUGAAGCAGACCGCCUGGGAAGUACGUCCGCAAGGAUGAAACUUAAAGGAAUUGGCGGGGGAGCACUACAACCGGAGGAGCCUGCGGUUUAAUUGGACUCAACGCCGGACAUCUCACCAGCAUCGACAAUGUGCAGUGAAAGUCAGGUUGAUGACCUUACUGGAGCCAUUGAGAGGAGGUGCAUGGCCGCCGUCAGCUCGUACCGUGAGGCGUCCUGUUAAGUCAGGCAACGAGCGAGACCCGCACUCCUAAUUGCCAGCAACACCCUCGUGGUGGUUGGGUACAUUAGGAGGACUGCCAGUGCCAAACUGGAGGAAGGAACGGGCAACGGUAGGUCAGUAUGCCCCGAAUGUGCUGGGCGACACGCGGGCUACAAUGGCCGAGACAGUGGGAUGCAACCCCGAAAGGGGACGCUAAUCUCC